This 426-nucleotide ribosomal RNA is filed under the name uncultured bacterium. RNAcentral's name for it is "partial 16S ribosomal RNA". It matches the Rfam family "Bacterial small subunit ribosomal RNA", at positions 354 to 796 of the family's 1533-position model. The record is from RNAcentral.
GUGAGGAAUUUUCCGCAAUGGGCGAAAGCCUGACGGAGCAAUGCCGCGUGAAGGAUGAAGGCCUAUGGGUUGUAAACUUCUUUUCUCAGAAAAGAAUUAUGACGGUAUCUGAGGAAUAAGCAUCGGCUAACUCUGUGCCAGCAGCCGCGGUAAGACAGAGGAUGCAAGCGUUAUCCGGAAUGAUUGGGCGUAAAGCGUCUGUAGGUUGUUUAAAAAGUAUUCUGUCAAAGAUUAGGGCUUAACCCUAGAUAGGCAGAAUAAACUUUUAAGCUAGAGUUUGGUAGAGGCAGAGGGAAUUCCCGGUGGAGCGGUGAAGUGCGUAGAUAUCGGGAGGAACACCAAAGGCGAAGGCACUCUGCUGGGCCAAUACUAACACUGAGAGACGAAAGCGAGGGGAGCAAAUGGGAUUAGAUACCCUGGUAGUCC